Molecule: ribosomal RNA, 497 nt
Filed under: uncultured bacterium
Lineage: Bacteria
Description: partial 16S ribosomal RNA
Rfam family: Bacterial small subunit ribosomal RNA
Source: RNAcentral
GAUGAACGCUGGCGGCGUGCCUAAUACAUGCAAGUCGAGCGAACAGACGAGGAGCUUGCUCCUCUGACGUUAGCGGCGGACGGGUGAGUAACACGUGGAUAACCUACCUAUAAGACUGGGAUAACUUCGGGAAACCGGAGCUAAUACCGGAUAAUAUAUUGAACCGCAUGGUUCAAUAGUGAAAGACGGUUUUGCUGUCACUUAUAGAUGGAUCCGCGCCGCAUUAGCUAGUUGGUAAGGUAACGGCUUACCAAGGCAACGAUGCGUAGCCGACCUGGGAGGGUGAUCGGCCACACUGGAACUGAGACACGGUCCAGACUCCUACGGGAGGCAGCAGUAGGGAAUCUUCCGCAAAGGGCGAAAGCCUGACGGAGCAACGCCGCGUGAGUGAUGAAGGUCUUCGGAUCGUAAAACCCUGUUAUUAGGGAAGAACAAAUGUGUAAGUAACUAUGCACGUCUUGACGGUACCUAAUCAGAAAGCCACGGCUAACUACGUG